UGCAGAAUUCUUAUUGCUGGAGAUAAUCGUAGAUCAUGGACAUGUAGGACUGAAAGUGAACAGUCAUCAAGCACCCCCUUCUCCACAUGGCCAAGUAAACCUACCCCCAACCCUGGGCAAUAAGGUGUGCCUAUCUUCCUCCACAUCAAGGGAAGAGGUGAAUUUCAUAUAAUUUUGGAUUUGUACGCCAAGGAGGGUGAACACCUCGAGGAAAGGAAAGAAGGAACAGGCAAAGCAGUAAAAUGAUUAAAAAUAGUAGAACAGUUGUAGCAUUGGGCCUCUGCAGAUUGCAGGCAGUGAGAAAUGAAGAACAAAAAAGGCAUAUGGAAUUACUGGAAGCAGAAAGUGCCAGGGAGAAAGCAGCUCAUGAGAGAGCCUUGGAAGCCCAGAAGCAAGCCACAGAACUUCAAGUAAAAAAAUGGAGAAGUGACGGAAAAAUGAGAUUGCAUGAAUCGGCUCAGUUAGGGAAGUAGAACUAGGACCCCCCGCCAAGGGAUCUCACCUCUCCAAAAAUUCACAAGUGGGAGCAGUUGUGUCCAUCAUACAAUGAGUCUGGAAAUAUCAUUGCAUAUUUCAUUACCUUUCAGAGCCUGUAUAUGUUCCCUGGGAUUCCUGAGGCUCAGAAGAUGGAUACUGUGGUUGCAUAGUUGAUGGGGAGAGCUCUGGACAUAUUUAAUAAGAUGCCAACUGGUGAUGCUUCCAAUUAUGUAAAAUUUAAGGAAUUGGUUCUAAACCAGUUUCAGAUUACACUUGAAAUGUAUAGAAUACAAUUCAGAAGCAAUAAGAGAGGGGUUGGGUUAAGUAAUAUGGCUUAUGUGAACCAAAUCAGACAUUUAUUGGAUAAGUGGGUGAGGGGUAAUGAUAUACAAGUUUGAAGGAAUGUGUGAUUUGGUUUUUCAGGAACAGUUCCAGAAUAUGUCUAAUCAUGUAAAACCAUGUUUAUGGGAUAAAAUAGAAAAUGAUGAACAAUUUGCUUCUUAUGUGGAUCAAUUUAAGAAAUUUAAAGCAGCUAGUUAGGAAUAAAUCACAAACAAAGGGGUUUAAAUAAUUGGAAAGCACAUAAGAAGGAGAGUAGGUGAGACAUCUCCCCAAGUUCACUUGAGUCCUCAUCCGAAAUCUCCUGUAAGAAGGAGGAUCCUAGAACAUGGUAUCACUAUAACACCACUGAGCACCUGAGAAAUAAAUGCCCUAUACCGAGUGGAAAAAGGUAGCAAAUAACUCAUGGAAAUGCUGCUAUUCAGCGCACAGAGGCAUCUCAAGG
This is a non-coding RNA of Pelodiscus sinensis (Chinese soft-shelled turtle), 1261 nucleotides long. The record is from RefSeq and is a predicted model, not a curated record. NCBI's taxonomy places the organism in Eukaryota, Metazoa, Chordata, Testudines, Trionychidae.